RNAcentral lists this ribosomal RNA (498 nucleotides) under uncultured bacterium. RNAcentral describes it as "partial 16S ribosomal RNA". It matches the Rfam family "Bacterial small subunit ribosomal RNA", at positions 28 to 507 of the family's 1533-position model. The record is from RNAcentral.
GACGAACGCUGGCGGCGUGCCUAAUACAUGCAAGUCGAACGAGAGCAACCGGUGCUUGCACUGGUCAAUCUAGUGGCGAACGGGUGAGUAACACGUGGGUAACCUGCCCAUCAGAGGGGGAUAACAUCCGGAAACGGAUGCUAAAACCGCAUAGGUCUUCGAACCGCAUGGUUUGAAGAGGAAAAGAGGCGCAAGCUUCUGCUGAUGGAUGGACCCGCGGUGCAUUAGCUAGUUGGUGAGGUAACGGCUCACCAAGGCCGUGAUGCAUAGCAGACCUGAGAGGGUGAUCGGCCACAUUGGGACUGAGACACGGCCCAAACUCCUACGGGAGGCAGCAGUAGGGAAUCUUCCGCAAUGGACGCAAGUCUGACGGAGCAACGCCGCGUGAGUGAAGAAGGUUUUCGGAUCGUAAAACUCUGUUGUUAGAGAAGAACAAGUGCUAGAGUAACUGUUAGCGCCUUGACGGUAUCUAACCAGAAAGCCACGGCUAACUACGUG